UGCUGAUCUGUGGGUUAGUGGCUCAAUCAUUGUGCACUGAUUCUCCACUGAUGCCUAGAUUGCCAUAAGUUUAUCUAUUGAUCUACAGAUCAAGUGAGUUUUUCUCAAAUCAAGUAGGGACUAAAUGGUCUAUUAAACAUGAGGUCAAGGAAAAAGGAUGAACAUUUCAAGGCUGCAGGAGGAACAUUAAACAUCUCUCUCACUGUGAAAAGAUUCUACCGAUCUACAAAUGAUCAACAUGUUUUAUCUAAAGUUCAUCUGCCAUUUCUUCAAAUGGAGCCAUAGUCAGAAUAAGGUUCAAAUGUAUCAGUUGUUUUUGUUGACAGAUAUCAAGUCAUUUCAGUUCUCAAUUAUUUUGUGCACUAAGUUACAAGAAAAAAGUCAAGCAAAAGAGGUCACUACACUAAGACUUUGUCUUCUCAUAAGAAAGGAUGGCUGCCUGGUCAUGUGAUAUAUGUGCUGGACUGUGUGUGGUCAUCUUGAUGCUCAUAUCUUGCCUGAUAUUUAUUCUGCUGGACAUUUGGUCAAGGAAGUAGAUUCCCUUCAGCUCUCAAGAAACAUUCAAAACAUGUCAAACAUUUGACAAGAAUAUCAAGCAAGUGCAGUGUACAUACCAACAUGAUGAAGAUGUAGACCAACAUGAUAAAGAUGUAGACCAGCAUGAUGAAGAUGUAGACCAGCAUGAUGAAGAUGUAGACCAGCAUGAUGAAGAUGUAGACCAGCAUGAUGAAGAUGUAGACCAGCAUGAUGAAGAUGUAGACCAACAUGAAGAUGUAGACCAACAUGAAGAUGUAGGCUGACAUGAUGAAGAUGUAGACUGACAUGAAGAUGAAAUGUAAACCAAAAUAUUGAUCAAGAGAUGUAUGGAAUAAAAAGUGAACAUCUUGAGAGGGAAAACAAUUCCUAGAGGCAAAGACACAGACACAUUAGAUACAUUAGAGAUUGUUUCCUUUUCUACCAUCAUUUAGAGCCUUUUUUGUGAGGGAACCUGCAUCUGAAAGAACUGAACAUUUCCCUAAUGCUACUUCAAAUUCAGAUCUCCUCCCAACCUCAGGCUGAGUACCCGUGGUCACCUACUUUAUGUUACAUUACCAUAGCACUACAGACAGUGGAAAACAAAUUAUAUGAAGGCGUGCAACCACCAUCAGAUAUUGUUGUCUUUACAGACUCCCAAUCCACUCUGCAAGCACUUAACAGCAGCACCUCAAACAGCCCAAGAGAGUUGACAACACUCAUUGUGAUAAUCCAUCAGAUGAUAUCAAAAUUAAAUAUCAAUAUCACAUUACAGUGGAUCCCUGGACAUAUUGGCAUCAUGGGAAAUGAAAAGGCAGAUAAGCUAUCAAAGGCAGGUUCAUCUAUGGAACAACCAGAUAGACCUGUUAACUACCUCACCCUAAGGUCAGUGGCUCAACCAAUGGGCAUCAGGAAACACAGGCAGAGCCAUGUACAAAGAAAUGACUACGCCUAACAAACUGGACAGUAUUAACUUACUCCACUAUUAAAUUACCACCUGAACAAAAUAAACUCCACACAACUCCUCCUUUGCAGACACUGUGCCCACCCCUUUGAAACCGUAAACCAUAUCCUCUUUGAAUGCCCCUCCCUAAUCCACCUUAGGCAGACCCUACUUCCACUACAGCCCAACAUAACCAACACCCUGUACGGCAGUGCUGAACAACUGGAGAAAACAGCACACUUUUUUUCCUUGGCACAGUCUGCAAAAGAGCUCACAGCUCAGCAGCAAUAAAGCUGGCUAGAAGAAGAAGAAAAAAAAGAGGUUACAUUACAAGAAGUGUUCGCAAAGUCAGAAAACCUAACAGAUGACAAUGAAUAGAACAAUCAUUUCUAAUAUAGGUACAAGUGAUGUACUUUGUAAUAACUAUUUGGGUGGAAUCACCAUAAUUGAUUUGUAUCUUGUUCUAUAUUUAGGUAAAUCUUGUCAUUCAGUCCAGUCAUUGUUCUUUUUCUUUUUAAUAUUCCUUUUUUUCCCCUCAAUUUUCUUGUUGUUUCAGUGAAAUGUUUUUAUCUUUUUUGUUUUGGAGCAGGGAGGGGCUGUGGUAUAUUAUCAUUAUUGGAGUCACAACACCAAAGCCUUGCUACAUUAUGCUUUUAAUUCAAUUUAUUAUCUCCCCUGCUUUUGUGUGGUAUCAUUAGUGUCACAUCCAUGCACAAUUUGUUCUAUGCUUUUUAUAGUGUAAAUAGUGACUUGACAUUAUUUACAUCAAUUAUAUGUUAUAUUAUAUUUAAACUAAAACUGUUAGCAUUUUCUAUGAUGUUAUCAAUAUGAAUGUGUUUGUGUGUUGCUAUGAAUGCAUUUUAAGUUUUAGUCUGAAAUCAUAAAUAAGAAAUUGUUUCAUAAACAAAGAUUAUAUUAAUAUUUAAUAUUGUCAGACUUCACCAUAGCACUGAGUUCAUCCCCAUAAUCUAUUUAAAACUUUCAAAUACUAAUUCACUUUGUCUUAUCUAAUGGUGAUCAUGGGGGUAUCUACUAUCCAUAGUCUCUGGUAUGAACACUCACUGUCCUGGUUAGGGCUAGGAUGUAAUCUCUAUUUCUGAUGGAACACAUGUAAAACCAAGAAAACAAACAGUAGACCUAGACUUUAUUAACAGGUCAUGCAAGCAUUUUUUUUAUAAUUGUGAACUGAGGCUCCCAGAGCUAUUUUUAUGUAUUUUUAUUUUUGCUACUUUUGUAGACUAGUGCUAAGAAUUUGUAUUUUUUUUUUCUAUAUGUAAAGCUACUUUAUAUAUAUAGUUAUAUAUUAUGGUACAUUAUUUUUCUAAUUGAAACAACUGUCAAAAUAAUUGGCAGUUUGUUUUUUUAAAGUUUGUUUUAAAAUGCUGGCCACUUCUAAUGUUUAUGUACUAGAUCUUUUCCUAAUUUUUUUGUUUUUUUAUCUGAGUGUUUUGUAACUGCUGCUUUGCUCAUUUGAAUUAAAGUAUCAUU
This is a long non-coding RNA of Biomphalaria glabrata, 2944 nucleotides long. RefSeq lists it as uncharacterized. The transcript is spliced from 6 exons. The record is from RefSeq and is a predicted model, not a curated record. Lineage: Eukaryota; Metazoa; Mollusca; Gastropoda; Planorbidae.